UACCACAUGGUGGUGCUUGAAAGUGUGCUAUUUCAAUCAACAUUUACGGGCGGGACAUAUUCAAGAGCGAGAUGCGCGAUAUUUUGACCACGCAAAUCAGCGUAUGGUGUUACGAUAAUUUUUCCUAAACCAAUCAAUGUUUUUAAACAAAUUAAAGAUAUUUGAAAAUAAUACGACAAAGCAAACUAUGUCUCUACAGA
This is a long non-coding RNA of Maniola jurtina (meadow brown), 200 nucleotides long. RefSeq lists it as uncharacterized. The record is from RefSeq and is a predicted model, not a curated record. Lineage: Eukaryota; Metazoa; Arthropoda; Insecta; Lepidoptera; Nymphalidae. The transcript has 3 exons.